This 2774-nucleotide ribosomal RNA is filed under the name Microbacterium sp. RNAcentral's name for it is "bacterial LSU rRNA". It matches the Rfam family "Bacterial large subunit ribosomal RNA". Lineage: Bacteria; Bacillati; Actinomycetota; Actinomycetes; Micrococcales; Microbacteriaceae. The record is from RNAcentral.
UUCAAGUCUUUAAGAGCAAACGGUGGAUGCCUUGGCAUCUGGAGCCGAAGAAGGACGUAGCAAUCUGCGAUAAGCCUCGGGGAGUGGAUAAGCACACUUUGAUCCGAGGAUCUCCGAAUGGGGAAACCCCGCUGGGCGGCGUGCCGACCCAGUGACUCCCGCCUGAAUAUAUAGGGCGGGUAGAGGGAACGUGGGGAAGUGAAACAUCUCAGUACCCACAGGAAGAGAAAGCAACCGCGAUUCCGUUAGUAGUGGCGAGCGAAACCGGAACAGGCUAAACCGAGUACGUGUGAUAUCCGGCAGGAGUUGCGUAUUCGGGGUUGUGGGACUUUUCAGGCUGUUCUGCCGAGCAGCCGGCGUUACAAGAAGGUAUAGACGAACUGGAUUGAAAGCCAGGUCAUAGAGGGUGCCAACCCCGUAGUCGAAAUGCCUCCCUUGGCGCGAAGAGUAUCCCAAGUAGCACGGGGCCCGAGAAAUCCCGUGUGAAUCUGUCAGGACCACCUGAUAAGCCUAAAUACUCCCAGAUGACCGAUAGCGGACAAGUACCGUGAGGGAAAGGUGAAAAGUACCCCGGGAGGGGAGUGAAAUAGUACCUGAAACCGUUUGCUUACAAACCGUUGGAGCCUCCCUAGCAGGGGUGACAGCGUGCCUUUUGAAGAAUGAGCCUGCGAGUUAGCGAUACGUGGCGAGGUUAACCCGUGAGGGGUAGCCGUAGCGAAAGCGAGUCUGAAUAGGGCGAUUCAGUCGCGUGUCCUAGACCCGAAGCGAAGUGAUCUAUCCAUGGCCAGGCUGAAGCGACGGUAAGACGUCGUGGAGGGCCGAACCCACUUAGGUUGAAAACUGAGGGGAUGAGCUGUGGAUAGGGGUGAAAGGCCAAUCAAACUUCGUGAUAGCUGGUUCUCUCCGAAAUGCAUUUAGGUGCAGCGUUGCGUGUUUCUUGCCGGAGGUAGAGCUACUGGAUGGCCGAUGGGCCCUACAAGGUUACUGACGUCAGCCAAACUCCGAAUGCCGGUAAGUGAGAGCGCAGCAGUGAGACUGUGGGGGAUAAGCUUCAUAGUCGAGAGGGAAACAACCCAGACCACCAACUAAGGUCCCAAAGCGCGUGCUAAGUGGGAAAGGAUGUGGAGUUGCCUUGACAACCAGGAGGUUGGCUUAGAAGCAGCCACCCUUGAAAGAGUGCGUAAUAGCUCACUGGUCAAGUGAUUCCGCGCCGACAAUGUAACGGGGCUCAAGCACGCCACCGAAGUUGUGGCAUUGACAUUAUUGGUAGGCCUUCGUGGUCCAGCCGUGUUGAUGGGUAGGAGAGCGUCGUGUGGCCAGCGAAGCGGCGGUGUGAACCAGCCGUGGAGGCCACACGAGUGAGAAUGCAGGCAUGAGUAGCGAAAGACGUGUGAGAAACACGUCCUCCGAAAGACCAAGGGUUCCAGGGUCAAGCUAAUCUUCCCUGGGUAAGUCGGGACCUAAGGCGAGGCCGACAGGCGUAGUCGAUGGACAACGGGUUGAUAUUCCCGUACCGGCGAAGAACCGCCCAAGCUAAUCCAGUGGUGCUAAGUGCCCGAAUUCCUCUGUAUCGAUCCCUUCGGGGUGAGAACGUUGGAGCUAGCGCACGACCCCAUGCUGGUGCGGUUAGCGUAUUAACAGGUGUGACGCAGGAAGGUAGCCCAACCCGGGCGAUGGUUGUCCCGGGGCAAGUGCGUAGGCCGAGAGAUAGGCAAAUCCGUCUCUUACAUAGGCUGAGACACGAUGCGGAUAAAAAGUGGGUGAUCCUAUGCUGCCAAGAAAAGCAUCGACGCGAGGUUCUAGCCGCCCGUACCCCAAACCGACUCAGGUGGUCAGGUAGAGAAUACCAAGGAGAUCGAGAGAAUCGUGGUUAAGGAACUCGGCAAAAUGCCCCCGUAACUUCGGGAGAAGGGGGGCCUUCGGCGUAUUAGGACUUGCUCCGAAAGCGUUUGAAGGCCGCAGAGACUAGUGGGUAGCGACUGUUUAUUAAAAACACAGGUCCGUGCCAAGUCGCAAGACGAUGUAUACGGACUGACGCCUGCCCGGUGCUGGAAGGUUAAGAGGACCGGUUAGCCGCAAGGCGAAGCUGAGAAUUUAAGCCCCAGUAAACGGCGGUGGUAACUAUAACCAUCCUAAGGUAGCGAAAUUCCUUGUCGGGUAAGUUCCGACCUGCACGAAUGGCGUAACGACUUCCCCGUUACGCGCAGCAGGACGGAAAGACCCCGUGACCUUUACUACAGCUUGGUAUUGGUGUUCGGUGUGGCUUGUGUAGGAUAGGUGGGAGACUUUGAAGCGGUGACGCCAGUUACCGUGGAGUCAUUGUUGAAAUACCACUCUGGUCACUCUGGAUAUCUAACUUCGAACCGUAAUCCGGUUCAGGGACAGUGCCUGGUGGGUAGUUUAACUGGGGCGGUUGCCUCCCAAAAAGUAACGGAGGCGCCCAAAGGUUCCCUCAACCUGGUUGGCAAUCAGGUGGCGAGUGUAAGUGCACAAGGGAGCUUGACUGUGAGACUGACAGGUCGAGCAGGGACGAAAGUCGGGACUAGUGAUCCGGCAGUGGCUUGUGGAAGCGCUGUCGCUCAACGGAUAAAAGGUACCUCGGGGAUAACAGGCUGAUCUUGCCCAAGAGUCCAUAUCGACGGCAUGGUUUGGCACCUCGAUGUCGGCUCGUCGCAUCCUGGGGCUGGAGUAGGUCCCAAGGGUUGGGCUGUUCGCCCAUUAAAGCGGUACGCGAGCUGGGUUUAGAACGUCGUGAGACAGUUCGGUCCCUAUCC